GACGAACGCUGGCGGCGUGCUUAACACAUGCAAGUCGAACGGGGCUGCUAUGAUGGAGUUUUCGGACAGCUGAUUAGUAUGCCUAGUGGCGGACGGGUGAGUAACGCGUGAGUAACCUGCCUUUCAGAGGGGGAUAACAGCCGGAAACGGCUGCUAAUACCGCAUAAUGCAUUGGAUUCGCAUGUUUCCGAUGCCAAAGAUUUUAUCGCUGAAAGAUGAGCUCGCGUCUGAUUAGCUAGUUGGCGGGGUAACGGCCCACCAAGGCGACGAUCAGUAGCCGGACUGAGAGGUUGAACGGCCACAUUGGGACUGAGACACGGCCCAG
RNAcentral lists this ribosomal RNA (325 nucleotides) under uncultured bacterium. RNAcentral's name for it is "bacterial SSU rRNA". It matches the Rfam family "Bacterial small subunit ribosomal RNA", at positions 28 to 334 of the family's 1533-position model. The record is from RNAcentral.